This 172-nucleotide ribosomal RNA is filed under the name uncultured bacterium. RNAcentral describes it as "partial 16S ribosomal RNA". It matches the Rfam family "Bacterial small subunit ribosomal RNA", at positions 1329 to 1500 of the family's 1533-position model. The record is from RNAcentral.
GAAUUGCUAGUAAUCGCAGAUCAGCAUGCUGCGGUGAAUACGUUCCCGGGCCUUGUACACACCGCCCGUCACACCAUGGGAGUCGGUAACACCCAAAGUUGGUAGCCUAACCGCAAGGAGGGCGCCGCCUAAGGUGGGAUUGAUGACUGGGGUGAAGUCGUAACAAGGUAUC